GACGAACGCUGGCGGCGUGCUUAACACAUGCAAGUCGAACGAUGACGACCGUGCUUGCACGGUCUGAUUAGUGGCGAACGGGUGAGUAACACGUGAGUAACCUGCCCUCCACUUCGGGAUAACCUCGGGAAAUCGUGGCUAAUACCGGAUAUGAAUCCUUGUCGCAUGGCGGGGGUUGGAAAGAUUUAUCGGUGGGGGAUGGACUCGCGGCCUAUCAGUUUGUUGGUGAGGUAAUGGCUCACCAAGACGAUGACGGGUAGCCGGCCUGAGAGGGCGACCGGCCACACUGGGACUGAGACACGGCCCAG
This 308-nucleotide ribosomal RNA is filed under the name uncultured bacterium. RNAcentral's name for it is "bacterial SSU rRNA". It matches the Rfam family "Bacterial small subunit ribosomal RNA", at positions 28 to 334 of the family's 1533-position model. The record is from RNAcentral.